This is a long non-coding RNA of Rhipicephalus microplus (southern cattle tick), 325 nucleotides long. The record is from RefSeq and is a predicted model, not a curated record. Lineage: Eukaryota; Metazoa; Arthropoda; Arachnida; Ixodida; Ixodidae.
CUCUCAUGAUGGCAGCAGCCGCCUUUUGUGCUUUCCUAUUGUACCACCUGGGGGAUGGACCCGUCUGGAUGGAUUUUGUUGGGACCUACCAGAAUGCAUGCCGAGACAACUGGUGGACAAACCUGAUCAACCUCCAGAAUUUCAUUCAUACAGACAACAUGUGCUUGCCUCAUACGUGGUACUCGGCAGUGGACUUGCAGCUUUUCCUCAUCUCUCCCUUCUUUAUUUCCCUUCUCUACAGAUGGCCCCGUGUAGGAGUGGCACUAUGCGGAGUGCUCAUUGUGACUUCAACUACAGCCAGCAUUAUGUAUACGGUAUUGCAUAG